Molecule: long non-coding RNA, 1528 nt
Organism: Passer domesticus (house sparrow)
Lineage: Eukaryota; Metazoa; Chordata; Aves; Passeriformes; Passeridae
Exons: 3
Source: RefSeq, a predicted model, not a curated record
AUCCUGGCUUAUCACUCAGCUGAGGGCCUGUCAACACUGGGAGUUUCCACCUCCGAGGAUGGGCUGCAGGAAGCCAAAAUCUGUCACCUCUUUCCUCUGCCUCAUUAGAUCCUGCCUUUCACAGGAUGCUGGAAUCAAAGCAGAGUUUUCUGUGUAAGCAGUUGCUGUGUGACUCCUUUUCCUCUUCCCUGGGCACCUUAUAGACCAAGAAGCCACAAUUGGGAAUGCAUUCAGAGACCAUUAGUACAGGAAGUCGGGUCAAAUCCAAAGAAACCAUGAAGCAGUGCACAGACAUGGAGGGACCAGAGGAUUGAAGCACAGCCUUGGAAUCUGCUUUGAAUCUGGACUGCUGGCAGGAAAGCAAUAUUUGAAAGGAUAUUAUUGCUGAAUUUAUUACAACAGGGUAGGAUGUGUGCAUUUUUAAGCAGGGUUUUUUGCUCUGACCAAGAUGCUGACCCAAAUUCCAUUUUGGUUCUCGUAUCAACAAUUGUUGGGUGCAGCCAGCCAACAUUUUUUGAUGGAGCAAUUUUCUACCCGCACUGGAAUGCUGUCUAAAUUAUAUAUGAAAUGCAGGAAUUUGGGAUAAAUUUACAACUCCCCAAAAGGUGAGAUAUCGGAUUUUGGCUUUCCCACUUCUUUUUAAUAAUGGCAAAGUCAUUUUAAUUUAGUGCCACAGAGACAUUUAAUUUUGAUUUGCUUCCUUUGACUCAUUUGGGUCAAGCAGUCCAUUACAUUUAAUAGCAUAUUAUUUUUACAUUAUGUUACAUGUUCCCAGGGCCAACACUGGCACGCAGGGUGGAAACUUGUCCCUUCCACUUCUCUGCAUCCUUUGGUGGUUUCCAUUAGCUCCACACUGCUGAAAGCAGCUCUGCUGCUUCCUUUGCUCGGGCUUUUGAAAAGAUUUCUCUUGGAGAUGCUGUGCUGCACUUUUCCAAGGCUCAGCUGUGGGUGGUUGUGUCCAGCUUGGCAGAAGUCGAGCGCUGGUUCCUGAGCUGGGUGUUUAAAUCUCCACAAAGAUGCCCCAUGUUUUCCCUCCUGGAUUCACAGCUGGAGCUGAGCUGACCGUGGACCCUUUGGAAAGAUUUUCCCCCUACACUGGCUCAAAUCCCCUCCUGGUGUAAGGCCCUGCUUCCAGCUCCUGCAGUGUGUAAGAUUUAUCUGGCAGCUCCUUCCAGCCUUACCAGAACACUUCAGUGCUGUGUUGUUCAGCAUGAGUGCCCCCAAAAUAUUCAGAUAACCAGAAAAAAAAGCUGGAAGAGGAAGAAAUCUCAAAUCUCUUUGCUGGUGAUGAAAUCUUUCCAUACUCUGCCCUGACCUCCUUGCAGUCUUUUCCUCCUUUUAUUUUUUUCCCCUCUCUUGGAAAGCAUCUCCUUUUCUGCCUAAGCUCUCAGUGCCUCGCCAGCCCUCACAGCCCCAGAUUUUAACUGCUGAGAGAAUGGCUGUGUUGAAAAGUCUGAGCUUUAUCCUGAGGCUGCCCCUCUCUGGAUUUCAUGUGCUGCUAAGUUUAGGAAGUGCCACGCUCGGCCUU